AACGUAGGACACAAGCGUUGUCCGGAUUUACUGGGCGUAAAGAGCGCGCAGGCGGUCGAUCAAGUCGAGUGUGAAAGCCCCCGGCUCAACUGGGGAGGGUCAUUCGAUACUGAUCGACUCGAAGGCAGGAGAGGGUAGUGGAAUUCCCGGUGUAGCGGUGAAAUGCGCAGAUAUCGGGAGGAACACCAAUGGCGAAGGCAGCUCGCUGGGACGUUACUGACGCUGAGACGCGAAAGCGUGGGGAGCAAACAGG
RNAcentral lists this ribosomal RNA (253 nucleotides) under uncultured bacterium. Its description in RNAcentral is "partial 16S ribosomal RNA". It matches the Rfam family "Bacterial small subunit ribosomal RNA", at positions 524 to 776 of the family's 1533-position model. The record is from RNAcentral.